Molecule: ribosomal RNA, 484 nt
Filed under: uncultured bacterium
Lineage: Bacteria
Description: partial 16S ribosomal RNA
Rfam family: Bacterial small subunit ribosomal RNA
Source: RNAcentral
AUUGAACGCUGGCGGCAGGCCUAACACAUGCAAGUCGAGCGGAUGAAGGGAGCUUGCUCCUGGAUUCAGCGGCGGACGGGUGAGUAAUGCCUAGGAAUCUGCCUGGUAGUGGGGGAUAACGUCCGGAAACGGGCGCUAAUACCGCAUACGUCCUGAGGGAGAAAGUGGGGGAUCUUCGGACCUCACGCUAUCAGAUGAGCCUAGGUCGGAUUAGCUAGUUGGUGGGGUAAAGGCCUACCAAGGCGACGAUCCGUAACUGGUCUGAGAGGAUGAUCAGUCACACUGGAACUGAGACACGGUCCAGGCUCCUACGGGAGGCAGCAGUGGGGAAUAUUGGACAAUAGGCGAAAGCCUGAUCCAGCCAUGCCGCGUGUGUGAAGAAGGUCUUCGGAUUGUAAAGCACUUUAAGUUGGGAGGAAGGGCAGUAAGUUAAUACCUUGCUGUUUUGACGUUACCAACAGAAUAAGCACCGGCUAACUUCGUG